This 107-nucleotide small nuclear RNA is filed under the name Pseudocercospora eumusae. The record is from RNAcentral. Lineage: Eukaryota; Fungi; Ascomycota; Dothideomycetes; Mycosphaerellales; Mycosphaerellaceae.
GUUAACUAACAUAUUGACAGUCAAUUUGAAACAAUACAGAGAAGAUUAGCAUGGCCCCUGCACUAAGGAUGACACAUGCAAAGUGAGUAAAUUCUAAUCAAAUUGUU